Molecule: ribosomal RNA, 254 nt
Filed under: uncultured bacterium
Lineage: Bacteria
Description: partial 16S ribosomal RNA
Rfam family: Bacterial small subunit ribosomal RNA
Source: RNAcentral
UACAGAGGUCUCAAGCGUUGUUCGGAUUCAUUGGGCGUAAAGGGCUCGUAGGCGGCCAACUAAGUCAGACGUGAAAUCCCUCGGCUUAACCGGGGAACUGCGUCUGAUACUGGAUGGCUUGAGUGUGGGAGAGGGAUGCGGAAUUCCAGGUGUAGCGGUGAAAUGCGUAGAUAUCUGGAGGAACACCGGUGGCGAAGGCGGCAUCCUGGACCACGACUGACGCUGAGUGAGCGAAAGCCAGGGGAGCAAACGGG